UACAGAGGUCUCAAGCGUUGUUCGGAUUCAUUGGGCGUAAAGGGUGCGUAGGCGGCCAACUAAGUCAGACGUGAAAUCCCUCGGCUCAACCGGGGAACUGCGUCUGAUACUGGAUGGCUUGAAUUCGGGAGAGGGAUGCGGAAUUCCAGGUGUAGCGGUGAAAUGCGUAGAUAUCUGGAGGAACACCGGUGGCGAAGGCGGCAUCCUGGACCGAGAUUGACGCUGAUGCGCGAAAGCCAGGGGAGCAAACGGG
RNAcentral lists this ribosomal RNA (253 nucleotides) under uncultured bacterium. RNAcentral describes it as "partial 16S ribosomal RNA". It matches the Rfam family "Bacterial small subunit ribosomal RNA", at positions 524 to 776 of the family's 1533-position model. The record is from RNAcentral.